Molecule: ribosomal RNA, 975 nt
Filed under: Triticum aestivum (bread wheat)
Lineage: Eukaryota; Viridiplantae; Streptophyta; Magnoliopsida; Poales; Poaceae
Description: partial small subunit ribosomal RNA
Source: RNAcentral
AUGGCCUCACCCCCUUCCCCGCCCCCGCCCUCGCCGCCGCCGCGGGCCGACGAGCCACGCAGCGGCGGGGGCAGGGCGCCGAUCCCGCCCUACGUCAAGGCGGCGGCGGGGUCGCUCGGCGGCGUGAUGGAGGCGUGCUGCCUGCAGCCCAUCGACGUGGUCAAGACGAGGCUGCAGCUGGACCGCGCGGGGGCCUACCGCGGCAUCGCGCACUGCGGCACCACCGUCGCGCGCGCCGAGGGCGUGCCGGCGCUCUGGAAGGGCCUCACGCCCUUCGCCACCCACCUCACGCUCAAGUACGCGCUCCGCCUCGGCUCCAAUGCCAUGCUGCAGUCCGCCUUCAAGGACCCCGUCACCGGCAAGGUCUCCGCGCAGGGCCGCCUCGCCUCCGGCUUCGGUGCCGGCGUCCUCGAGGCCCUCGUCAUCGUUACCCCAUUCGAGGUGGUAAAGAUUAGAUUGCAGCAACAAAAAGGACUAAGCACGGACCUGCUGAAAUAUAAAGGGCCCAUACACUGUGCAAAGACAAUUGUUCGUGAGGAAGGCAUUUUUGGUCUGUGGUCUGGAGCAUCACCAACUGUCAUGCGCAACGGCACAAACCAAGCUGCGAUGUUCACAGCCAAGAACACGAUAGACAUCCUUCUCUGGAAGAAGCAUGAAGGGGACGGGAAGGUUCUCCAGCCAUGGCAGUCCAUGGUCUCCGGGUUCCUUGCAGGAACCGCAGGGCCGAUCUGCACCGGGCCUUUCGACGUGGUGAAGACCAGGCUGAUGGCCCAAGGGAGGACCGGCGACAUCAAGUACAAGGGCAUGUUCCACGCGAUACGGACGAUACACGCGGAAGAGGGCCUCCGGGCCCUGUGGAAGGGCCUGCUUCCCAGGCUGAUGAGGAUUCCACCUGGCCAGGCCAUAAUGUGGACAGUGGCUGAUCAGGUGAUGGGCCUCUAUGAGCGAACAUAUCUGCAGUCGUCUCAGGUGUAA